This 252-nucleotide ribosomal RNA is filed under the name uncultured bacterium. RNAcentral describes it as "partial 16S ribosomal RNA". It matches the Rfam family "Bacterial small subunit ribosomal RNA", at positions 1250 to 1500 of the family's 1533-position model. The record is from RNAcentral.
CAAAGCAGNGAUGUGGAGCAAAACACAAAAAGACAGUCUCAGUUCAGAUUGUAGGCUGAAACUCGCCUAUAUGAAGUUGGAAUUGCUAGUAAUCGCGAAUCAGAAUGUCGCGGUGAAUACGUUCCCGGGCCUUGUACACACCGCCCGUCACACCAUGAGAGUCGAUAACACCCGAAGCCUGUGAGCUAACCUUUUAGGAGGCAGCAGUCGAAGGUGGGGUUGAUGAUUGGGGUGAAGUCGUAACAAGGUACC